This 519-nucleotide ribosomal RNA is filed under the name Triticum aestivum (bread wheat). RNAcentral's name for it is "partial small subunit ribosomal RNA". The record is from RNAcentral. Lineage: Eukaryota; Viridiplantae; Streptophyta; Magnoliopsida; Poales; Poaceae.
AUGAGGACUUUGUGUUGGAACUAUCAUGGGAUUGGCGACCCGGCGACGGUUCGAGAGCUCCACGAUCUCAUGGAGUCGUGUGCGCCGUCGGUUCUUUGCGUUGAAACUCAACUAGCGAAAAACUGAGUGGAGGGAUUGGCGGUUUCUUUAGGUUUUAAUAAUAGGUUUGUUGUUCCGAGCUCGGGACGUAGUGGUGGUCUUUGUAUUUUCUCGAAAGAUGAUAUCAAUCUUGAAAUUAAAAAUUAUUCACAUUAUCACAUUGAUUCAUGGAUUUCAAAACAACGGAAGGAUCAGUGGCGCCUCACUUGCUUCUAUGGGGAGGCGAAUCGUAUUAGAUAUAAAACAUGGUACAACAUGAAGAGAUUAAGAGGGCAAAGCACACUACCAUGGGUGUGUAUUGGAGACUUCAAUGAGGUCCUAAGGCCGGAAGAAUAGAUGGGGCCUAACCCUCGAGAUAGCUCCUAGAUUGCAGGCUUCAUGGAUGCCGUUGACAUCUGUGGUGUAACACCCCGGAUGUAA